UGGGGAAUAUUGCACAAUGGGCGAAAGCCUGAUGCAGCAACGCCGCGUGAGUGAUGAAGGCCUUCGGGUUGUAAAGCUCUGUCUUUUGGGACGAUAAUGACGGUACCAAAGGAGGAAGCCACGGCUAACUACGUGCCAGCAGCCGCGGUAAUACGUAGGUGGCAAGCGUUGUCCGGAUUUACUGGGCGUAAAGGAUGCGUAGGCGGAUUUUUAAGUGAGAUGUGAAAACCCUAAGCUUAACUUGGGGACUGCAUUUCAUACUGGAAAUCUAGAGUGCGGGAGAGGAGAAUGGAAUUCCUAGUGUAGCGGUGAAAUGCGUAGAGAUUAGGAAGAACACCGAGGUGACGGCAGGACGAUUCUCUGGACCGUAACUGACGCUGAGGCAUGAAAGCGUGGGUAGCAAACAGGAUUAGAUACCCUGGUAGUCCACGCCGUAAACGAUGAGUACUAGGUGUAGGAGGUAUCGACCCCUUCUGUGCCGCAGUUAACACAAUAAGUACUCCGCCU
Molecule: ribosomal RNA, 507 nt
Filed under: uncultured bacterium
Lineage: Bacteria
Description: partial 16S ribosomal RNA
Rfam family: Bacterial small subunit ribosomal RNA
Source: RNAcentral